GGAAAGAUUCAUCGGUAUGGGAUGGGGUCGCGUCCUAUCAGCUUGAUGGCGGGGUAACGGCCCACCAUGGCUUCGACGGGUAGCCGGCCUGAGAGGGCGACCGGCCACAUUGGGACUGAGAUACGGCCCAGACUCCUACGGGAGGCAGCAGUGGGGAAUAUUGCACAAUGGGCGCAAGCCUGAUGCAGCGACGCCGCGUGCGGGAUGACGGCCUUCGGGUUGUAAACCGCUUUUGACUGGGAGCAAGCCCUUCGGGGUGAGUGUACCUUUCGAAUAAGCACCGGCUAACUACGUGCCAGCAGCCGCGGUAAUACGUAGGGUGCAAGCGUUAUCCGGAAUUAUUGGGCGUAAAGGGCUCGUAGGCGGUUCGUCGCGUCCGGUGUGAAAGUCCAUCGCUUAACGGUGGAUCCGCGCCGGGUACGGGCGGGCUUGAGUGCGGUAGGGGAGACUGGAAUUCCCGGUGUAACGGUGGAAUGUGUAGAUAUCGG
This 488-nucleotide ribosomal RNA is filed under the name Bifidobacterium adolescentis JCM 15918. Its description in RNAcentral is "bacterial SSU rRNA". It matches the Rfam family "Bacterial small subunit ribosomal RNA", at positions 201 to 700 of the family's 1533-position model. Lineage: Bacteria; Bacillati; Actinomycetota; Actinomycetes; Bifidobacteriales; Bifidobacteriaceae. The record is from RNAcentral.